AUCAAAAUAUAACCCAGAACAUAAAAGGAAAAGAAAAGAAGUUGUGCGCGAAAAGCAGUUGUGCGCUUCCAAGACUCCGGACACGACUCUGGACUUCGUUCUCGACUUCUCUUCCGUCUCGUUCGAUUAAUCAUUGCAGGUUCUCAGAGGCAAAUAUUUCUGUGGGAUUUUCUGCUCUGCUGCAUCUUGACAUCAGUCCUGUAGCCAGACUACUGUCAGGGCCAGUUGGAUAUGCGGCAAAGAGGACUAAGUGGUCUGUUGAUGACCCCAUCAAAUCUUUUACUGAUUCCGAAUCAGUUAACCCGUCAAAUUUAUCGAAUGAGCGUACUGGGCGUAGUUAUGAUUGGGUGAGAGCACGUUCAAAACCAAAGGAGGAUGGAGGUUAUUACAUUCCAAAUGACAAGACAAAGGAGGUGUUUGAGAAAAUGGAGGAGUUGCAGAGGCAAGUAUCAGAUGGGUCAUGGACUCCAAAAGGCCACGAUGACGAUGUCUUUUAUAUUCUUAAGGGUCUUGGUUCAAGAAACUAUACAAGAAAGGAAAUCAAUGAGGUUCGAGAAUUGUGGGCAAAAUUUUUCUCUUUAGAAUGUCUGUAAUAAGGUAAUCUUGUCAUCGGCCUUGUCGUUUGAAGUCCUAACAGUUCAAGCAUUUAAGUUCUUGCCUGCUGCAGUACUGUGAUAUACAAUCACUGGUCCUUGAAGAUCUUGAACUUCUUGCUAGAGACAGUGUGUUUGGAUUCAUUUGUAACAAUCUGAUAUCAUGAAGUUUUUUUUGUGGCAUUUAAUGUGUAAUGUUUCUUUCAAGUGUAAACUUGGACAUAAUUAAUUCUUGAUAUAAUUGUUUAAGUUGUUUUGGGAUUUAA
Long non-coding RNA from Daucus carota subsp. sativus, 859 nucleotides. RefSeq lists it as uncharacterized. Lineage: Eukaryota; Viridiplantae; Streptophyta; Magnoliopsida; Apiales; Apiaceae. The record is from RefSeq and is a predicted model, not a curated record. The transcript is spliced from 5 exons.